AAAUUGAAGAGUUUGAUCCUGGCUCAGAUUGAACGCUGGCGGCAUGCUUAAUACAUGCAAGUCGAACGGUAACAGGCAUUAGUGAUCCCUUCGGGGUGAUCUUGGCGCUGACGAGUGGCGAACGGGUGAGUAAUGCUUGGGAAUCUGCCCGGUAGUGGGGGACAACCCGAGGAAACUCGGGCUAAUACCGCGUAAGCUCCACGGAGGAAAGCGGGGGAUCUUCGGACCUCGCGCUAUCGGAUGAGCCCAAGUCGGAUUAGCUUGUUGGUGGGGUAAUGGCCUACCAAGGCGACGAUCCGUAGCUGGUCUGAGAGGACGAUCAGCCACACUGGGACUGAGACACGGCCCAGAC
RNAcentral lists this ribosomal RNA (352 nucleotides) under Rhodospirillaceae bacterium. RNAcentral describes it as "bacterial SSU rRNA". It matches the Rfam family "Bacterial small subunit ribosomal RNA", at positions 1 to 336 of the family's 1533-position model. The record is from RNAcentral. RNAcentral also lists the same sequence under 1 other name. Lineage: Bacteria; Pseudomonadati; Pseudomonadota; Alphaproteobacteria; Rhodospirillales; Rhodospirillaceae.